UAUCUCUGUAGAGUCUGCAUAUCAAUAAGCGGAGGAAAAGAAACUAACUAGGAUUCCCUCAGUAACGGCGAGUGAAGCGGGAAGAGCUCAAAUUUGAAAUCUUCAAGGUUCUACCUUGACGAAUUGUAGUUUAAAGAAGUGUUUUCUGUUGGAGUUUUGGUAAAAGUUCUUUGGAAUAGGACAUCAUAGAGGGUGAGAAUCCCGUAUUUGACCAUUAUUUCCAGCUUUGUGAUACACUUUCAAAGAGUCGGAUUGUUUGGGAAUGCAGUCCAAAAUGGGUGGUAAAUUUCAUCUAAAGCUAAAUAUUGGCGAGAGACCGAUAGCGAACAAGUACCGUGAGGGAAAGAUGAAAAGAACUUUGAAAAGAGAGUUAAACAGUACGUGAAAUUGUCAAAAGGGAAGCGUUUGACACCAGUGUUGUUUUCUCGAAAAUCAAUUAAAAAAGGCAGGAUUUUGUGUUGUAUUGACUUUAUCAGCUUUCUGCACUCUUUUCUCGUCUUUUUUAAUGCACUUUUCGUUUAACAAGUCAACAUCAAUUUCUUUUGUUGUAAAAGGGUCAUUGGAAGGUGGCUUUCUUUUCGGAGAAAGUGUUUAUAGCCUUUGGCCUCUGCAAUCGGAGAGAUUGAGGUCUGCAGCGUAGAUCCUUCGGGGUUAGAUACAUUUGUGCUAAGUUAUAGCCUUUCAUAGACAACUUGUUGACUAUGAUCAGUCAUGUAGCUUACUCGCUUAUGCUAUUUUACCUACGCUUAGGAUGUUGACGAUCAGCUGAGCGCG
This 774-nucleotide ribosomal RNA is filed under the name uncultured Neocallimastigales. RNAcentral describes it as "partial large subunit ribosomal RNA". It matches the Rfam family "Eukaryotic large subunit ribosomal RNA", at positions 24 to 627 of the family's 3401-position model. The record is from RNAcentral. Lineage: Eukaryota; Fungi; Neocallimastigomycota; Neocallimastigomycetes; Neocallimastigales.